RNA transcript from Eriocheir sinensis (Chinese mitten crab), 1877 nucleotides. It is a transcript of the gene named immunoglobulin-binding protein 1-like, with no coding region annotated. The transcript is spliced from 7 exons. NCBI's taxonomy places the organism in Eukaryota, Metazoa, Arthropoda, Malacostraca, Decapoda, Varunidae. The record is from RefSeq and is a predicted model, not a curated record.
UCUCUCUCUCUCUCUCUCUCUCUCUCUCUCUCUCUCUCUCUCUCUCUCUCUCUCACACACACACGCACACACACACACAGGAUGGCCGAGGAGAGUGUGUCAGAGUCCUUUGACAGACUCCUGCGUGUGUACCAAGACAUAGAGUCCUCCAGCCUGCCCACCAAUGACCCUCAGCUGCAGACCAAGAUCACCGAGGCCAUCGCAGGCUUGGUCCGCGCCACCGUCCUUGUGUCCGAGCUCGGCAUCUUCAGCUCCAACGAAACCCUUGAAGACCUCCCCACCUCCUCCAUCAAGCUGCUCCUUCUCCCGGCACUCCUCGGCACUCUUACCCUCAAACAGACAGACAAGGAUCGGACUGAGACUCUACGCAUUGCCGCUGUCUAUCUCCGGGACUUCCUACAACGGUGCUUUAGCUAUGGGGUGACUAAGACUAGGCCCCCGCAGCACCUAGGAGACUCAGAGGAAGAGGAGGAGGAAGAGGAGGGGAGGAGGAAUAAGGGUCAGGAUGUGAAGAGGAAUGGCCCACCGACACCUGAGGAGCUGCAGGAGAUGGCCCGGCAGAGGCAGGACAAGAUCAGCCGCUACAGGGAGAGGACGGACAUGGUGGCGCGGCUGGACAUCCUGAAGGCCAUGUACAGGCAGCGGGCCGAGGACGAGGAGGUGGCCAGGAAGUACCACACCACACUCGUACAGAAGUUUGCCCUGGAGAGCGUGGAGGAGCUGGAGAGUGUGGUCAUGGAAAGGAAGAUGUUGCAGCAGAUGGCCUCACUCAAGCUGAAGGGUGGGGGGGAAGCAGCCAGCCCCCCACCCCCCACGGCACCCCCUCUCAAGCCCAUCCUGAUCACCCGAGACGCAGCGCAGAAGAACGUCUUUGGUCUGGGGUACCCUAGUCGACCCAGCUUGACGGUGCAGGAAUUCUACGACCAGCGUGUCAGGGAUGGCUGGUUCCCGGACCCCACCAAGAGCAGGUCCUGCCUCCAAGACCGCUCCACCAUGACGCCGGAGCAGGAGGCCGCCAUCAGGGAGGCGGAGGAGGCGGAGGAGGAGCGGAAGGCGGAAGAGGAGGAGGACCCUGAGGUCUUGGAGCGGGCAAGGGCGAGGGAUGAGUGGAGGGACAACCACCGGAGGGGCUGGGGCAACACCUACAACAGGAGCUGAGUGUGGGGGCAUAAGGGAUUGGAUUCUGUUAAAAGGGAUUGGAUGCUGUUAAAGAGGAUUAGGGCAUUAGGAAGGGGAUUAGAUGCUCUUUAUAAACCUAAGAAUGUGAGGUUUACAAAUAUUAGAGCACUGAGUGGGGGGAAGGGAUUGGAUGCUGUUAAAGAGGGUUAGGGCAUUAGGAAGGGGAUUAGAUGCUCUUUAUAAACCUAAGAAUGAGGUCUAGAAGAGGACUAACAUUGCUGGAGUGAAGGGGUUAGAAGGAUGAGGGCAUUAUGAAGGGGAUCUAAGACUGCUGGAUAGGGAAUUUAACCAGACAUUUUAAAUAGAAGUGAUGCUGCUUUAAUAGGGAGAAGCUAACAGUUGGGGGAUCAAAAUGCUGUCAACCUGGUAGCAGCGGGGAUCAUGUUUCCUAAUGGUUCCUCUAAGCGAGAAAAAUGAGAAAAAAUCAUCACUCACACAAACCAUUUCAUAAUAUAUAUCGAUGCAUUUGUGAUCAGUUUAUGUAUCAUCUAUUUUAGGGGGUUUAAAUCAUGGCACAAAUUUGGCCCGUCGCUGCUACAGGGUUAAAGGGGUUCAGAUCACAGAGUUAUAGACUAGAGGGUUCAACUCCAAUCUCUCGCCACGGUGAGAGGUGAAGCCACUGCUCCUGCCUGUAACUCUAAGGUCGGCCGCCAUAGGGUGACGGAUUGGCGGCCUUUCCAUGAUAACACAUGUUUACA